UUACUUUGGAAAUAAUACGGUAGAAAAUAGAUCUUCUGGAACCACUUCCACAACUUCAAAUUCUAAAAACUAUGCAAUCAUCUUGCACAUCCAUUUCACUAAUUGCUCCAGGUUUCUUCUUCUCAACAUCUUUCAUGCGUUAGAGCGGCGAUAAACCCCAUGAUUUCUCUUUCGUGUGCUGGAAUUUCCAAGGGAUUUCAUGUCUGGGUUUACCCGAUUAUGACAUAAAAGUUGAACUUGCUAAGCUGCUAGUGACGAGUAUUCUAUUUUGUAGGUGACUUAUGCAUCUAGCUUCUUUUCACAACGGACAUUGCUACAUCCCUGAAAUAAUUAAGCUAUGGAGCAUGCCGUACGGACUGAGAUUAAUGGAAAUUCUCUUCUCCAUGGCUAGAGAAUAUGCCUCUGUUCCAUCAAUGGAUUUGACUAAGCGGUUCAACAUCAACUAGUAAGUGAUGAAGGAUGUAUAUGCGUAUAUGCGUAUUCCACUUGUUCCCGAGUUGCGGUCAGAAUGAACUUCUCUUACUCAUCCCACAAGGCCGUGAAUGAUUUAUAAGGAGACCAAGAGCUUAGCAGCAAUUCACUCUCGUGUUCUUCUGCUUUUAUCUUGAAUGAAAUCAGUCAAAAUCUGACAACCAAUGGACCAAGGCCUAAUCGUCAAGGUUCUUUUCGUUAUGGGAUGAUUAAUACCAUACAUAUUGUCAGUCUACAGAUUCUGCUCUAAUGGUUAAUGGAAAGUGAUGAUGCGUAGUAGUAAAUUGUGUAUCUUUCAUUCUAGCAGAUACACCAUUGAAACUUGUUGAGAUAGGUGCUUCCAGCAUUUGAGCUUAUGCAGUCCUAUUUCCAAUAGUUACUAUCUACAGUUUUCUUUCAUGGCAGCCGAUUUCCGAGAAUUUGUUGAAGUCUUCUUUGAGAAAUCUGAAGAUAUUGUCCAAUCUUGGCACAGCAUACUGGUGGCCAUCUUCUUUGUUGUCGGGUACUAAAUUAAUAUUAUUUGUAUAAAUUUAUAUAGGAACCUCUGUGUAGUUACAUAGGAAUAAAUGUGUAAGAUCAUGUAUAGUUUUAUUGUUGAACGAAAACAACUCCAUUUUUUUAGAGAUAUAUGAUAUAUUUUUUUGGAUUA
Spinacia oleracea (spinach) is the source of this 1120-nucleotide long non-coding RNA. RefSeq lists it as uncharacterized. NCBI's taxonomy places the organism in Eukaryota, Viridiplantae, Streptophyta, Magnoliopsida, Caryophyllales, Amaranthaceae. The record is from RefSeq and is a predicted model, not a curated record. The transcript has 5 exons.